Molecule: transfer RNA, 72 nt
Filed under: Micromonospora carbonacea
Lineage: Bacteria; Bacillati; Actinomycetota; Actinomycetes; Micromonosporales; Micromonosporaceae
Also listed under: 1 other name
Description: tRNA-Lys
Rfam family: tRNA
About the family: Transfer RNA (tRNA) molecules are approximately 80 nucleotides in length. Their secondary structure includes four short double-helical elements and three loops (D, anti-codon, and T loops). Further hydrogen bonds mediate the characteristic L-shaped molecular structure. tRNAs have two regions of fundamental functional importance: the anti-codon, which is responsible for specific mRNA codon recognition, and the 3' end, to which the tRNAs corresponding amino acid is attached (by aminoacyl-tRNA synthetases). tRNAs cope with the degeneracy of the genetic code in two manners: having more than one tRNA (with a specific anti-codon) for a particular amino acid; and 'wobble' base-pairing, i.e. permitting non-standard base-pairing at the 3rd anti-codon position.
Source: RNAcentral
GGGCCGUUAGCUCAAUGGCAGAGCUGAGGACUUUUAAUCCACAGCAAUCUCUGUCGGCACUCCCACGGUCCU